RNAcentral lists this ribosomal RNA (331 nucleotides) under uncultured bacterium. RNAcentral's name for it is "bacterial SSU rRNA". It matches the Rfam family "Bacterial small subunit ribosomal RNA", at positions 84 to 432 of the family's 1533-position model. The record is from RNAcentral.
UUUGGGUCAUAGUGGCGCACGGGUGCGUAACGCGUGGGAAUCUGCCCUGGGGUCUGGGAUAACCGUUGGAAACGACGGCUAAUACCGGAUGAUGUCGCAAGACCAAAGAUUCAUUGCCCUGGGAUGAGCCCGCGUCCGAUUAGCUAGUUGGUGAGGUAAGAGCUUACCAAGGCGACGAUCGGUAGCUGGUCUGAGAGGAUGAUCAGCCACACUGGGACUGAGACACGGCCCAGACUCCUACGGGAGGCAGCAGUGGGGAAUAUUGGACAAUGGGCGAAAGCCUGAUCCAGCAAUGCCGCGUGAGUGAUGAAGGCCUUAGGGUUGUAAAGCU